RNAcentral lists this ribosomal RNA (253 nucleotides) under uncultured bacterium. RNAcentral describes it as "partial 16S ribosomal RNA". It matches the Rfam family "Bacterial small subunit ribosomal RNA", at positions 524 to 776 of the family's 1533-position model. The record is from RNAcentral.
UACAGAGGUCCCAAGCGUUGUUCGGAUUUACUGGGCGUAAAGGGCUCGUAGGCGGUUUGUCGCGUCGGGAGUGAAAACCCAGGGCUUAACCCUGGGCUGGCUUCCGAUACGGGCAGACUAGAGGUAUGCAGGGGAGAACGGAAUUCCUGGUGUAGCGGUGAAAUGCGCAGAUAUCAGGAGGAACACCGGUGGCGAAGGCGGUUCUCUGGGCAUUACCUGACGCUGAGGAGCGAAAGUGUGGGGAGCGAACAGG